Molecule: ribosomal RNA, 429 nt
Filed under: bacterium
Lineage: Bacteria
Description: partial 16S ribosomal RNA
Rfam family: Bacterial small subunit ribosomal RNA
Source: RNAcentral
UAGGGAAUCUUCGGCAAUGGGGGCAACCCUGACCGAGCAACGCCGCGCGAGUGAAGAAGGUUUUCGGAUCGUAAAGCUCCGUUGUAAGAGAAGAACGUGUGUGAGAGUGGAAAGUUCACACAGUGACGGUAACUUACCAGAAAGGGACGGCUAACUACGUGCCAGCAGCCGCGGUAAUACGUAGGUCCCGAGCGUUGUCCGGAUUUAUUGGGCGUAAAGCGAGCGCAGGCGGUUUAAUAAGUCUGAAGUUAAAGGCAGUGGCUUAACCAUUGUUCGCUUUGGAAGCUGUUGGACUUGAGUGCAGAAGUGGAGAGUGGAAUUCCAUGUGUAGCAGUGAAAUGCGUAGAUAUAUGGAGGAACACCGGUGGCGAAAGCGGCUCUCUGGUCUGUAACUGACGCUGAGGCUCGAAAGCGUGGGGAGCAAACAGG